Long non-coding RNA from Felis catus (domestic cat), 2811 nucleotides. RefSeq lists it as uncharacterized. The record is from RefSeq and is a predicted model, not a curated record. NCBI's taxonomy places the organism in Eukaryota, Metazoa, Chordata, Mammalia, Carnivora, Felidae. The transcript has 2 exons.
GGUGACGCUGCGAGUGUAGCUGACGGCCUGGCUGCCCCGGUGCUCAUUGACCACAGUGACCGUGAAGUUCUCGACACCCUUGGGUGGUGCAGAGCAAGGCGCACUCAGCAGGCCUAGGUGAAGAGAGAGCCCUCAGCUCCUAACUGGCUGGCAGGACCCCUCUUCCCAGCUACGGGGCUCAAGAGACCAUCCUGCAGGACUUACCCGGACUUUGCCGAUCUCGCCUUUGUGGAUGGAGAUGUUGACGCUGAGGGCAGACACGGUGACGAGCCUCACAAAGGACACAGCAGGGUUGCCCCGGUUCUCAUUCUUGGUGGUGACGGUGAAGGGGGUCAGGCCCUGGGCGCUGACCCCCGGGCAGCCGGCGGCCGCCAGCACAUAGUCGCAGGUGCCCUGGAAGUCGAAGUCCCAGCCGUCGAAGGAGUGGUAGUGCGGAUCGCCCCACAGCCAGCACGUGGCCUCGUAGGUGGGUACACACACACCCUGCCCAUCCUUCUCCUGGCACGUCUCCUGUGGCCGACAGGUCACACCGUGACACGGGUCUGGAGACAGGGAGAGAGGAACUUGUGGGGCUGCCCAGCACAGGCCGGCUGCUCCCCAGCCUCAGCCCCGGUCUGCCCCAGGGAUUCUGCCCUCGGGCUAAGGGCUCCUGCAGGUGAGGACAGACACCAGGGGCUUCCCAUCUGAGACCAAGCCCUGGGGGUCCCCCAUGUUUGAAAUCCAGGCCCUGUGGUGGACUGUGUCUAAGACCCCAUCAAAGGCUCCCACAUCCAAGGCCAAGGCCCUGCAGUUUGCUGUCUGAGACCCACGCCCCGAGUACCUGACUGCCAAGGCCUAGACUCUAGGGUCCCUACAUCAGAACCCAGCCCCAGGGGUCCCAGUAUCUGUGAUGCCAGCCCUCAGGGCAUCCAUGAGGGCAUCCACAGCCCCAGAGUUUUCUAUGUUCGAGACCUGGGUCCCUAUUAUCCUGUCCAGUGGCACCAAGGGUCUCAGUUCUGGAGGCCUCAUUCUUUUAUCUAUUUAUCUAUUUUUAUCUAUUUAUCUAUUUAUAAGGAGUUAUUCUCUGUCCUUCACCCUAAGAAACCAGUCCGGGGGGGGGGGGCAGCUCUGUGACUUAGACUUAAUCUGGGGGGGCCCCAUGUCUGAGAUUGUUUCCCUAUAAAUCCCGAUCCUCUUCUGGGGGGGGGGGUCCUGUAUCUAAGACCCCAGCCUUCGUGGGGUCUCUACCUGAGACCUCAGGACUAUGCUUUCUGUCUCUGUCCCUGGGGGUCCCAAUUUCCCCUACCUUGAAGGGGAGAUGGUGUUAGAAGCCCUGAGCCUAAUCCUGCAUACCAGUGGUCAGUAAACUAUGGCAUAGCUAGCUGCCUGUUUUUAUAAAUACCAGAGGGUUUUAUUGGAGCCUCACCCCCUCACUUACAUAGCCUAUGGCUGAUUUCAUGCCACAGUGGCAGAGUUGAGUAGUUAUGACCGAGACUAUAAGGCCUGCAAGUUCAAAUAUUUACCAUCUGUCCCUUUAGGGGAAAAGUUUGCCUGUCCUUGCCUUAUGCCAAGGGUCUCUGACAUCUGCCCUAGGGAACCUAGCCCUGAGGGUCCCCAAAGCCUGCAUUUUACCAUAAGGUAGAACUCCACCUCCCAGCCUGGAGGGCCUGUGCCCCUAGCCCUGGGAAUCCCAGCCCCGGGGUCCCCAGAUUGGAGACCUCAAUUCUUAGUCCUUUGUGCCACCCACUGUGAAAAUCUAGGUUCACACCUCCCACUGCUCCAGAGUCCCCAUCCUCUGUUCCCAGCCCCACGGGGCCCAGCCCCAGCCCAGCACCUUUGGUGACGCAGCUCAGGACACCUCCUGAGGGCUCGCACACCUGCCCUGGCUUGCAGCUGUGGGCCUGGCAUUCCAGGCCUUUUCCGGCAUGGCACACACACUGUUGCUGGCACCUGUCGAUGAGGACCACCUGGUUCGGCUGUGAGGACAGAGGACACGGCCAUCAGGGUGGGAGCUGAACUGGCAUCUCCAGUGUCCCGGGGACAGAGGGUCCAGAGGACAUCAAGGGAACAUCUUUCAGCAGAGUGGCCCCUUGUCUGUGCAACUAGGGCACCACAUGGCCUUGGGGUCCAAUUCAUUCAUUCAUUCACUCACUCACUCACUCACUCACUCACUCACUCACUCACUCGUUUUUCCAAAAUAUCCACUUAAUGUCUGCUGUAUGUGAGAAACGGUGUAACAUGAAUUAAGAGCAAAGGCCCUGGAGCAAAUUGCCUGGGUCUGAAGCCUCAUUCUGCUAUUUCCAAAUUGUAUCACUGUGCAAAUUUCUUAACCUUUUAUGCCUCCGUUUCUUCAUCUGUAAGCAGUCGAUAAUCAUAGCACCUAACUAUGGUAGUAUGACUUGGUUAAUAAUACGUAUAAGGUACAGGGGAAAUGAAAAGGGAGUUCCUUUAUUAUUUUUUUUUUUUUUACUUUGAGAGAGAGAGAGUGUGUGAGCAGGGGAGUGGGGCAGAGGGAAAAAGAGAAUCUCAAGCAGGCCGCAUGCUCAGCAUGGAGCCUGACGCAGGGCUGAAUACCACAACCCUGAGAUCCUGACCGGGGCUGAAAUCAAGAGUCAGAUGCUCAACCAACUGAGCCACGCUGGUGCCCUGGGAAUUCCUUUAAAUAAUCCAGAUUAGAGAGGAAACGGGGAUAAGAGACAAAACAAGAUCAGGAAAAUGUGGUUAUCGCUAAAGCUGAGUGAGGGGUACAUGGAGAUUUACACUGUUCUCUUAACGUUUGCAUGUUUGAAAAUUUUCCUAAUAAGUAAAAAGUUCAUAUGUAUGUGUAAUGCA